UAAAGUGGAGAAUGCCUUGAU
This 21-nucleotide non-coding RNA is filed under the name Caenorhabditis elegans. The record is from RNAcentral. Lineage: Eukaryota; Metazoa; Nematoda; Chromadorea; Rhabditida; Rhabditidae.